RNAcentral lists this unclassified non-coding RNA (337 nucleotides) under soil metagenome. RNAcentral describes it as "partial contains 5.8S ribosomal RNA, internal transcribed spacer 2, and large subunit ribosomal RNA". The stretch from base 1 to 120 matches the Rfam family "5.8S ribosomal RNA", at positions 35 to 154 of the family's 154-position model. The record is from RNAcentral.
GAUGAAGAACGUAGCGAAAUGCGAUAAGUAGUGUGAAUUGCAGAAUUCAGUGAAUCAUCGAAUCUUUGAACGCACAUUGUGCCCCUUGGUAUUCCAUGGGGCAUGCCUGUUCGAGCGUCAUUUGUACCUUCAAGCUCUGCUUGGUGUUGGGUGUUUGUCUCGCCUCUGCGUGUAGACUCGCCUUAAAACAAUUGGCAGCCGGCGUAUUGAUUUCGGAGCGCAGUACAUCUCGCGCUUUGCACUCAUAACGACGACGUCCAAAAGUACAUUUUUACACUCUUGACCUCGGAUCAGGUAGGGAUACCCGCUGAACUUAAGCAUAUCAAUAAGCGGAGGA